RNAcentral lists this transfer RNA (76 nucleotides) under Escherichia phage RB32. RNAcentral's name for it is "tRNA-Thr". The stretch from base 1 to 57 matches the Rfam family "tRNA", at positions 16 to 71 of the family's 71-position model. From Rfam's summary of the family: Transfer RNA (tRNA) molecules are approximately 80 nucleotides in length. Their secondary structure includes four short double-helical elements and three loops (D, anti-codon, and T loops). Lineage: Duplodnaviria; Heunggongvirae; Uroviricota; Caudoviricetes; Pantevenvirales; Straboviridae. The record is from RNAcentral.
AGGUAGAGCAACUCACUUGUAAUGAGAAGGUCGGCGGUUCGAUUCCGUCAAUCAGCACCAAGGCCCUGUAGCUGGA